Non-coding RNA from Phrynosoma platyrhinos (Desert horned lizard), 70 nucleotides. The record is from the annotation of a GenBank genome assembly. NCBI's taxonomy places the organism in Eukaryota, Metazoa, Chordata, Lepidosauria, Squamata, Phrynosomatidae.
GAGUGUGGCGUAGUGGUUUGAGCAUUGGACUACCACUCUGGAGAUCAGGGUUCGAUUACCCUCUCUGCCA